CAAGUCGAACGAGAAAGUCCGAAAGGAUGAGUAAAGUGGCGCACGGGUGAGUAACGCGUAGGAAUCUACCCUUUGGUGGGGGAUACCUCCGAGAAAUCGGGGUUAAUACCGCAUAAGUUGAUGAUAAGUCGAGAAAGACGGCCUAAUAGCUGUUGUCGAAGGAUGAGCCUGCGUACUAUUAGCUAGUUGGUAGGGUAAAGGCCUACCAAGGCGAAGAUGGUUAACCGGCCUGAGAGGGUGUACGGUCACAAUGGAACUGGAACACGGUCCAUACUCCUACGGGAGGCAGCAGUGGGGAAUCUUGCACAAUGGGCGCAAGCCUGAUGCAGCGACGCCGCGUGGAGGAUGAAGGCUUUCGAGUUGUAAACUCCUGUUAAGUGGGAAGAAAUACCUUGGGUUAAUACCCUGAGGGGAUGACGGUACCACUAGAGAAGGCACCGGCAAACUUCGUGCCAGCAGCCGCGGUAAUACGAAGGGUGCAAGCGUUAUUCGGAGUUACUGGGCGUAAAGAGCAUGUAGGCGGCUUGUUAAGUUAGUUGUUAAAUUCCAUGGCUUAACUAUGGAUGUGCGGCUAAAACUGAUGAGCUAGAGCAUAGAAGAGAGAAGUGGAAUUCCCGGAGUAGCGGUAAAAUGCGUAGAUCUCGGGAGGAACACCGGUUGCGAAGGCGGCUUCUUGGUCUAUUGCUGACGCUAAAGUGCGAAAGCGUGGGGAGCAAACAGGAUUAGAUACCCUGGUAGUCCACGCUGUAAACGAUGGUCACUAGAUGUGGGUCGAGCAUAGCUUGAUCUGUGUCGAAGCUAACGCGUUAAGUGGCCCGCCUGAGUAGUACGGUCGCAAGAUUAAAACUCAAAGGAAUUGACGGG
Molecule: ribosomal RNA, 864 nt
Filed under: uncultured bacterium
Lineage: Bacteria
Description: bacterial SSU rRNA
Rfam family: Bacterial small subunit ribosomal RNA
Source: RNAcentral